Molecule: small nuclear RNA, 108 nt
Filed under: Balaenoptera musculus (blue whale)
Lineage: Eukaryota; Metazoa; Chordata; Mammalia; Artiodactyla; Balaenopteridae
Source: RNAcentral
GUGCUCGCUUCGGCAGCACAUAUACUAAAAUUGGAACGAUAAAGAGAAGAUUAGCAUGGCCCCCCGCGCAAGGAUGGCACGCAAAUUCGCGAAGAAUUCUUCAUUUUU